GACGAACGCUGGCGGCGUGCUUAACACAUGCAAGUCGAACGGAAAGUCCCUGCUUUUGUGGGGUGCUCGAGUGGCGAACGGGUGAGUAACACGUGAGUAACCUGCCCUUGACUUUGGGAUAACUUCAGGAAACUGGGGCUAAUACCGGAUAGGAGCUCCUGCUGCAUGGUGGGGGUUGGAAAGUUUCGGCGGUUGGGGAUGGACUCGCGGCUUAUCAGCUUGUUGGUGGGGUAGUGGCUUACCAAGGCUUUGACGGGUAGCCGGCCUGAGAGGGUGAGCGGACCCACUGGGCCUGGGAUAAGGCCCAGACCACUAUGGGACGCAGGAGAGGGGAAGAGUGCACAGUGGGCGGGAGGCUGAUGUAGUCAAGCAGCGUGGGGGAUGACGGCCUUCGGGUUGUAAACCGAAUUCGUCUGUGACGAAGCGUGAGUGACGGUAACGGGUGAAGAAGCACCGGCUAACUCCGUG
Molecule: ribosomal RNA, 468 nt
Filed under: uncultured bacterium
Lineage: Bacteria
Description: partial 16S ribosomal RNA
Rfam family: Bacterial small subunit ribosomal RNA
Source: RNAcentral